GAAUUUUAUAUAAAUUUAUUAAAAUUAAUUAGUUAUAUUAUAAUAAUAUAUUUAUAUUUUGUUGGGAGGAUAGUUAAAUUAAAAAAACUUUAAUAAUAAUUAGAACAUUAAUUUAUGAAUAAUAAAAAUGAGUGAUUAAUAGAAUUAGUUAGAAUUAAUUACCUUAGGGAUAACAGCGUAAUAUCUUUAGAGAGAUCUUAUUAAUAAAGAUGAUUGU
Molecule: ribosomal RNA, 217 nt
Filed under: Pheidole flavens
Lineage: Eukaryota; Metazoa; Arthropoda; Insecta; Hymenoptera; Formicidae
Description: partial large subunit ribosomal RNA
Source: RNAcentral